This 742-nucleotide long non-coding RNA is filed under the name Panicum hallii. RNAcentral's name for it is "long non-coding RNA (PHAL_LNC000077)". Lineage: Eukaryota; Viridiplantae; Streptophyta; Magnoliopsida; Poales; Poaceae. The record is from RNAcentral.
UCCUGUCUGUUUCUCCCCCUCUUCUCUCUCCAUCGCUGCCGUCAUGUCUGCCGCCCGUGCUCCAGCCUAGUCCCGCGCGCGCCCCGGUCCAGCCUGGCCCCGCGGCUGCCGCCUGUCCGGCCGCGGGGGCGGCGCUUCGGUCCAGACCCGCGCGUCCGCGGACCGGCUCGGUUGCCUCGCCGGCUGAACCGCAGCGACACGUGGCGCAUUAGCGUGCCUGCCGGCACGACGGCGGCACACAUCCGGCCGCGCACGGGGUGCCGAUGCGGCCGGCCACGGGAGCUGCAACACGGGGGGCUGCGGCGGGGUGCUGCGCUGCACGGGGUAUGGCCGCGCGCCCAACACGUUAGCAGAAUUCGCGCUGAACCAGUUCAACUUUGCCAUUCAAAGGAGGAGACGAGCGAGGAGGCGACGAGCAUGGCAAAGGAGGAGCCGGACGCCAUGGAAGGGUGUAGAGAGGGAAGACGAAGAAGAAGAUGGAGGGUAUUUUGAUCUGUAAAUUUUAAAAAAUAUAUUGAAAGAGUAACUAGUGGUAUAUUUCUGUAAAUAUCGUGAAUAGUAAUAAUAUAUCUCCGAACUGCGAUAAUUGUAAUGGUAUAAGUCCAAUUAACUCUGUACAUAAUGAUCACUCUCAACCUCUACACAGCUAGUACGUGCGCAGCAUAAAACACUGACUCCACCAUUGUAACACUUGGAUUGCGAGAAACCUACUUCAAAAGCGACACCUCCAUGAAGAUGACGG